This 83-nucleotide transfer RNA is filed under the name Mycosarcoma maydis (corn smut). RNAcentral describes it as "tRNA-Ala for anticodon AGC". It matches the Rfam family "tRNA". From Rfam's summary of the family: Transfer RNA (tRNA) molecules are approximately 80 nucleotides in length. Lineage: Eukaryota; Fungi; Basidiomycota; Ustilaginomycetes; Ustilaginales. RNAcentral also lists the same sequence under 1 other name. The record is from RNAcentral.
GGGGGUUUAGCUCAGUUGGUAGAGCGUUCGCUUAGCAUUCGCUAACUUGCGAAAGGUCGCGUGUUCGACUCAUGCAGUCUCCA